Molecule: non-coding RNA, 101 nt
Filed under: Nitrococcus mobilis
Lineage: Bacteria; Pseudomonadati; Pseudomonadota; Gammaproteobacteria; Chromatiales; Ectothiorhodospiraceae
Also listed under: 1 other name
Description: TPP sequence
Rfam family: TPP riboswitch aptamer (THI element)
About the family: Vitamin B(1) in its active form thiamin pyrophosphate (TPP) is an essential coenzyme that is synthesised by coupling of pyrimidine and thiazole moieties in bacteria.
Source: RNAcentral
UCGACGAAGUGGGGGUGCUCCCGGUAAGACCGGGGGCUGAGAGAGUCCCUUGGAACCUGACCCGGUUAGCACCGGCGUAGGGAAGCUUCCGGCACCCGGAU